This 457-nucleotide long non-coding RNA is filed under the name Capsicum annuum. RNAcentral's name for it is "long non-coding RNA (CANN_LNC018911)". The record is from RNAcentral. Lineage: Eukaryota; Viridiplantae; Streptophyta; Magnoliopsida; Solanales; Solanaceae.
UCUCUUGCUGCCUUUUUUUUUUUAUCAUUUAGCCUUUGCCCUCUUCGAACUUUCUUCUUGUGCGUAUUUAUAGCUAAAAUUCAGAUGUAAAAGUCUGGAUUUAAACACAAGAAAAGAGUUCCAACGGACGAAACUCCAUAUGAGUGAAAUAUCCAUUUGAAAUCAAAGCUAACAACUUUUAAACUUCUUUUUUUGAUGAUUUUCAGAACCCUCACACGAAUUUAAAAUUAAUUUUGAGUUAUUGCAUCAAAUUAGGACCUACUUUCUUUCUGAUUUCACCGAUUCAUAGGUUUGGAUGAUGAAUUUGGGGAGGAAUACUAUAGGCUAGGGACAACGGUGGUGGCAGCGGCUAGGGUUGUGCCAUCUUAGGAAAUGAAAGAGAGUGGAAGAUAAGAGAGAGGGUUGGUGUUGGGAGCAAGUUGUGGAAAAAAAUAAUGACCCGCCAUUUAUUUUUUUG